This is a long non-coding RNA of Larimichthys crocea (large yellow croaker), 865 nucleotides long. RefSeq lists it as uncharacterized. NCBI's taxonomy places the organism in Eukaryota, Metazoa, Chordata, Actinopteri, Sciaenidae. The transcript has 6 exons. The record is from RefSeq and is a predicted model, not a curated record.
GAACUCUGAGGAGAACCACACGGACAAAACAACUGAAGACACUCAUGAGGUCCAAACAGCUUUAUUAGACCAGGAGGAGAUCAGACAACUGAUACCUGAGGAGGACCAGGCGGACAAAACAACUGAAGACACUCAUGAGAACUCUGAGGAGAACCAGGCGGACAAAACAACUGAAGACACUCAUGAGAACUCUGAGGAGAACCAGGCGGACAAAACAACUGAAGACACUCAUGAGGUCCAAACACCUUUAUUAGACCAGGAGGAGAUCAGACAACUGACAUCUGAGGAGGACCAGGCGGACAAAACAACUGAAGACACUCAUGAGGUGAAAACACCUUCAGUAGAACAGGAGAAGAUCAGACAUCUGACACCUGAGGAAACAAACCAACUAAAUCCAUCUAUAACUGGAAGAAAACUUUGUUUUGAUGACUCAUUUAGUAUGUAGUACGAAGACAGUCAGACCUGACAGUCAGACCCUGUUUUUGACAACUUCUCUGUGUCUGGCACACAAACUACUACUGAAUCUAUGUCAUUGUCCUGUUUAUGUAUGUCAUGCAAAUAUGUAUGUGUAUCUAUGUAUGUAAGUCGUGCAGUGUUGUGGGUAACGCGUUACAAAGCGAUGUGAUGAUGCUGUGCCCUGGGAGUCCCAUUCUUACUGCUAAGAGAAAUCGACUGUCGGACAGACGUUUGGAAAAUCUUCUGUUACGUUUUAAUCACUACUUCGAAGAGUAAAUGUAAGUGGACAAUGGUAAAGUGCAUUUAGACCUGUGACACUUGAAUAGUUUUUUCAUAGUUUGGCUGUUUGUCAUCUGUCUGUGUGCCAGUGAGCGGUUUUAUUGUUUGUGUUAUUCGGCCUGUAAUCAUU